AGGAACUAGGCAAAAUGGUGCCGUAACUUCGGGAGAAGGCACGCUGGUGUGUAGGUGAAGUCCCUGCGGAUGGAGCUGAGACCAGUCGAAGAUACCAGCUGGCUGCAACUGUUUAUUAAAAACACAGCACUGUGCAAACACGAAAGUGGACGUAUACGGUGUGACGCCUGCCCGGUGCCGGAAGGUUAAUUGAUGGGGUUAUCCGUAAGGAGAAGCUCUUGAUCGAAGCCCCGGUAAACGGCGGCCGUAACUAUAACGGUCCUAAGGUAGCGAAAUUCCUUGUCGGGUAAGUUCCGACCUGCACGAAUGGCGUAAUGAUGGCCAGGCUGUCUCCACCCGAGACUCAGUGAAAUUGAACUCGCUGUGAAGAUGCAGUGUACCCGCGGCAAGACGGAAAGACCCCGUGAACCUUUACUAUAGCUUGACACUGAACAUUGAGCCUUGAUGUGUAGGAUAGGUGGGAGGCUUUGAAGCGUGGACGCCAGUCUGCGUGGAGCCAACCUUGAAAUACCACCCUUUAAUGUUUGAUGUUCUAACGUUGGCCCCUGACCGGGGUUGCGGACAGUGUCUGGUGGGUAGUUUGACUGGGGCGGUCUCCUCCCAAAGCGUAACGGAGGAGCACGAAGGUUAGCUAAUCCUGGUCGGACAUCAGGAGGUUAGUGCAAUGGCAUAAGCUAGCUUGACUGCGAGCGUGACGGCGCGAGCAGGUGCGAAAGCAGGUCAUAGUGAUCCGGUGGUUCUGAAUGGAAGGGCCAUCGCUCAACGGAUAAAAGGUACUCCGGGGAUAACAGGCUGAUACCGCCCAAGAGUUCAUAUCGACGGCGGUGUUUGGCACCUCGAUGUCGGCUCAUCACAUCCUGGGGCUGAAGUAGGUCCCAAGGGUAUGGCUGUUCGCCAUUUAAAGUGGUACGCGAGCUGGGUUUAGAACGUCGUGAGACAGUUCGGUCCCUAUCUGCCGUGGGCGCUGGAGAAUUGAGGGGGGCUGCUCCUAGUACGAGAGGACCGGAGUGGACGCAUCACUGGUGUUCGGGUUGUCAUGCCAAUGGCACUGCCCGGUAGCUAAAUGCGGAAGAGAUAAGUGCUGAAAGCAUCUAAGCACGAAACUUGCCCCGAGAUGAGUUCUCCCUGAGACUAUAAGUCUCCUGAAGGAACGUUAAAGACGAUGACGUUGAUAGGCCGGGUGUGUAAGCGCAGCGAUGCGUUGAGCUAACCGGUACUAAUGAACCGUGAGGCUUAACCUU
Molecule: ribosomal RNA, 1241 nt
Filed under: Klebsiella pneumoniae
Lineage: Bacteria; Pseudomonadati; Pseudomonadota; Gammaproteobacteria; Enterobacterales; Enterobacteriaceae
Description: bacterial LSU rRNA
Rfam family: Bacterial large subunit ribosomal RNA
Source: RNAcentral